This 301-nucleotide ribosomal RNA is filed under the name uncultured bacterium. RNAcentral's name for it is "partial 16S ribosomal RNA". It matches the Rfam family "Bacterial small subunit ribosomal RNA", at positions 509 to 807 of the family's 1533-position model. The record is from RNAcentral.
CAGCAGCCACGGUAAUACGAAGGGGGCUAGCGUUGCUCGGAAUGACUGGGCGUAAAGGGCGCGUAGGCGGCGAUCAAAGUCAGGCGUGAAAUUCCUGGGCUCAACCUGGGGGCUGCGCUUGAUACUUGGUUGCUUGAGUGGGGAAGAGGGUCGUGGAAUUCCCAGUGUAGAGGUGAAAUUCGUAGAUAUUGGGAAGAACACCGGUGGCGAAGGCGGCGACCUGGUCCUUGACUGACGCUGAGGCGCGAAAGCGUGGGGAGCAAACAGGAUUAGAGACCCCCGUAGUCCCUGUCUCUUAUAC